This 41-nucleotide small RNA is filed under the name Plasmodium falciparum 3D7. RNAcentral's name for it is "Pfa-starR368". The record is from RNAcentral. Lineage: Eukaryota; Apicomplexa; Aconoidasida; Haemosporida; Plasmodiidae.
CUAUAUCAGUGAAUGUAAGACCUAAGUUAGUACCUUAAUGA